CGCGGCUACCAUGCAGUCGAGCGGAUGAAGGGAGCUUGCUCCUGGAUUCAGCGGCGGACGGGUGAGUAAUGCCUAGGAAUCUGCCUGGUAGUGGGGGAUAACGUCCGGAAACGGGCGCUAAUACCGCAUACGUCCUGAGGGAGAAAGUGGGGGAUCUUCGGACCUCACGCUAUCAGAUGAGCCUAGGUCGGAUUAGCUAGUUGGUGGGGUAAAGGCCUACCAAGGCGACGAUCCGUAACUGGUCUGAGAGGAUGAUCAGUCACACUGGAACUGAGACACGGUCCAGACUCCUACGGGAGGCAGCAGUGGGGAAUAUUGGAGAAUGAGCGAAAGCCUGAUCCAGCCAUGCCGCCGUGU
This 357-nucleotide ribosomal RNA is filed under the name Pseudomonas aeruginosa. RNAcentral describes it as "bacterial SSU rRNA". It matches the Rfam family "Bacterial small subunit ribosomal RNA", at positions 43 to 400 of the family's 1533-position model. The record is from RNAcentral. Lineage: Bacteria; Pseudomonadati; Pseudomonadota; Gammaproteobacteria; Pseudomonadales; Pseudomonadaceae.